AACAGUGCUAGGUUAGCCUACAGAAAGACAGACCGCCAGAAGAGAGAAAGACUCAUGGAACAUUCCCUCAGAAACUUCAAAAGAACAGCAGUAACAGCGUGAUUCACUACUGCAAGGCUCGGGCGGUUGUGAUUGGGUGGCUGUGCCACUGCAGGGGCCCUGGGCUCCGGACAAUGUGCCUACUACUGCAGCCUCCAUCCCUGCAGACUGGAUACUCAGCGAGAGAGGCACCACCUAAUGCCUUCCUUAUGGACUGACUGACUGGCCCUGCAGAGAGAAGGCAUGGGCGCCACCGGCUGGACAGCAGGCAGGUUCUUACUGGUGGCCCCGUUGACGAAGGAUGAGGAAGAGGUGGAGGAAGAGGAGGCUGAGUCUGUAGCUCCUGCAGGGAACAAACACACCAACCAACGUCACACUGGGAGAAGAAUGGGAGCAGAAGUAUACAACUUUAUUAUAUAACCAAGUAUAUAACUAUAUUAUAUACCCACGUACUGUAUACAACUAUAUUAUAUACCCAAGUACUGUAUACAACUAUACAGUACAGAUUAUGACUAUACAGUACAGUAUAAAACUUCAUUAGAUAACUAAAUAUACAACUAUAUUAUAUACCCAAGUUCUGUAUACAACUAUAUUAUAUACCCAAGUAUACAACUGUACAAUACAGAAUACAACUAUACAGUACAGUAUACAACUCAAUUACAUAACCAACUAUAGAAAUACACAGUAUACAACUCCAUUAUACAGUAUACAACUAUACAUUAUAGCAUACACUAUACAACUAUAUUAUAUACCCAAGAACAGAAAUAUACAGUAUACACCUCCAUUAUAUACCCAAUUAUAAACUGGGUGGUUCGA
Long non-coding RNA from Oncorhynchus tshawytscha (Chinook salmon), 855 nucleotides. RefSeq lists it as uncharacterized. The record is from RefSeq and is a predicted model, not a curated record. The transcript is spliced from 3 exons. NCBI's taxonomy places the organism in Eukaryota, Metazoa, Chordata, Actinopteri, Salmoniformes, Salmonidae.